This 490-nucleotide ribosomal RNA is filed under the name uncultured bacterium. RNAcentral's name for it is "partial 16S ribosomal RNA". It matches the Rfam family "Bacterial small subunit ribosomal RNA", at positions 30 to 507 of the family's 1533-position model. The record is from RNAcentral.
AUUGAACGCUGGCGGCAGGCUUAACACAUGCAAGUCGAACGGUAACAUAAAGGAGCUUGCUUCUUUGAUGACGAGUGGCGGACGGGUGAGUAAUGCUUGGGAAUCUAGCUUAUGGAGGGGGAUAACUACGGGAAACUGUAGCUAAUACCGCGUAGAAUCGGGAGAUGAAAGUGUGGGACCUUCGGGCCACAUGCCAUAGGAUGAGCCCAAGUGGGAUUAGGUAGUUGGUGAGGUAAAGGCUCACCAAGCCGACGAUCUCUAGCUGGUCUGAGAGGAUGACCAGCCACACUGGGACUGAGACACGGCCCAGACUCCUACGGGAGGCAGCAGUGGGGAAUAUUGCGCAAAGGGGGCAACCCUGACGCAGCCAUGCCGCGUGAAUGAAGAAGGCCUUCGGGUUGUAAAGUUCUUUCGGUAGCGAGGAAGGCAUUUAGUUUAAUAGACUAGGUGAUUGACGUUAACUACAGAAGAAGCACCGGCUAACUCCGUG